This 1280-nucleotide long non-coding RNA is filed under the name Oryzias sinensis (Chinese medaka). RNAcentral's name for it is "lncRNA (ENSOSIG00000022798.1)". Lineage: Eukaryota; Metazoa; Chordata; Actinopteri; Beloniformes; Adrianichthyidae. The record is from RNAcentral.
GACCCACUCAAAUGAAAAUUGUGUUUUGGUGUCUUUAACAUGUCUUUGCUGCAUUUUUCUCGUGAUGGAGGACAAAUAAAAAAAAUUAAUCCUAAAAUUACAUUUCUGAUCAUAUCUUUAUUCAAAUCAUUGUGAAUCAGGAGCAGACAAAAGCUGCAUUUGAAAAAAGCUUGUAGUUGUUACGUAAUAGCUACAAUCGGCAGGCCACAAGCUUCCUGCUCCUGCUCCAGUCCUGACUACAACUCAGAGGAGAACUUUUUUUGAUGAACUUCUGCUCUGCAGAAACAAACCACGCCACAUUUAUUUAUUUUUUGUAUAGUAGCUAAAAACUGCAUAAUCUUAAUUAAAAGACUACUGGGAACGCUAUUAAAAUAGAUCAAUGGAUGAUUUGAGUGGAACGUUAACCGUGUUGGAGAACAAAACAGAGUGAUCUCAGCAGACAAACCAAUCAGACUCUUGUAUGGUACAGGGUAACGUGGGAUUUGGUGCUUGGCCCAAGGACACAUCAGCAAGAAGACUGCCAAGGCCAGGACCCAAACUCACCACUUUCUGAUAAGCAGGGGAGUGAUUACUGCCUUCAAGCUUCCCCCUGUAUACUUUCAAAAGCCUCUGCGUUUUACUGAUGUUGAUAUCAGCAUCCACGCUGAUCAAGGUUUAAAUAGGAGGAAGUAGCUUGCAAAACCCUUAACGAUAACCAAAAAGGUCGUCAAACCUAAGAAGAGUAGCUUAACAUUUUGAGAAAUGUGUUCAGGAAAAACUGUUUUCAAAUGAAAAAAGGAUCCUCUUUCUGAAGAAUUUUCAAGAGGCUUGAUGACACAAUACUUCCAUUUCUUUUUUUAGGAAAUGUUGGGACAGAGGUUGUGUCAUGUGAUCUGCUGGUUUGUGUUAACUUAAUUUGACGUCAAAAUGUCAGCUCUGUGUUCUUCACCAUUUGGACAGGAAAUUAUGUCAUCAAAUGUUGACCUUUGAUCUAGACAAAACAUUGACCUUUGAGACUUGAAUCCAGAAAAAAAGCCAUAUUUGCAUUUUAAAUAAUUUCCGACAGUACAGAUGUGCCUGGCUGAGGUUGGAGCCACGCACUAAGGCAAUCUUAGACCUAAUAAUUGGAUGCUCACCUGUCAAUCAAAAGGAUACACUUUUAUUGUAAUUCAUUUGACCUAAAAUGUAAAAUAAAUUCACAAAGUUCUGUUAAAUGUAUCCAAAUUACAAUAAUUUUGGGAACAAACUCUCUUAGAGGGCCAAACCUUGCCCUAAAGAGAAUGAUGACUUAUCUGAUUGUG